This 253-nucleotide ribosomal RNA is filed under the name uncultured bacterium. Its description in RNAcentral is "partial 16S ribosomal RNA". It matches the Rfam family "Bacterial small subunit ribosomal RNA", at positions 524 to 776 of the family's 1533-position model. The record is from RNAcentral.
UACGGAGGGGGCUAGCGUUGUUCGGAAUUACUGGGCGUAAAGCGCGCGUAGGCGGCUUUGUAAGUUAGAGGUGAAAGCCCGGAGCUCAACUUCGGAAUUGCCUUUAAGACUGCAUCGCUUGAAUCAUGGAGAGGUCAGUGGAAUUCCGAGUGUAGAGGUGAAAUUCGUAGAUAUCAGGAAGAACACCCGUGGCUAAGGCGGUUCUCUAGUACGGUACUGACGCUGAGACGCGAAAGCGUGGGGAGCGAACAGG